This 1645-nucleotide long non-coding RNA is filed under the name Sus scrofa (pig). RNAcentral's name for it is "lncRNA (ENSSSCG00055001114.1)". Lineage: Eukaryota; Metazoa; Chordata; Mammalia; Artiodactyla; Suidae. The record is from RNAcentral.
UUUUUUUUCUUUUGGGCUUUUGUCUUUUAUUUUAGAGCUGCACCCAUGGCACAUGGAGGUUCAGUCCUAAAAAGACAAAAAAAUUUAAAAAAGAAUAAAUAAAAAUUAAAAAAAUGCAUGGGGGGGGGAUGAUAAUAACUAUGUGGUGGGCAUGCACCAGUUCCCUGGAAACGAUACACAGAUUUUCUUCCAGGGAAUCAUGUCCCCACUGUGCAUCCAAUGGCCAUGCAUUUCAGAGGCCUUGUCUCCAAGCCCACCUCCAGGAGUGGGCCCGUGACCUGGGCCAGGCCAACCGGGUACAGGAGUUAGGAGUGUCACAGAGAUGCUUAGGCUGUAGGGGCUGGAGCCACCAGGACCAACCACCACACACUGGCUGAGAAUAGAGCCAAUGGUAUAAGGCAGAGCUGGCAGAGGGUGAAAAACAGGCCUGAGGAAAUUCUUUGUGUCUCUGAUCAACACACCUGAAGUCUGGGCUUUUUAAGGCACCUGAGCCCAAAAGUUUCCCUUUUUCUCUAAGCCAUUUAGAGUCGGCCUUCCUGUCCCUUGAAAACUAAAAGGCUCAAGGCUGAAGUACCCAUCAUGGCUCAAUGGUAACAAACCUAACUGGUAUCCAUAAGGACGUGGAUUCAAUCCCUGGCCUUGUUCAGUGGGUUAAAGGAUCCGCUGUUGCCAUGAGCUGUGGUAUAGGUCACAGAUGCAGCUCAGAUUUGGAGUUGCUGUGGCUGUGGUGUAGGUUGGCAGCUGCAGCUCUGAUUUGACUCCUGUCCUGGGAACUUUAGUAUGUUGUGGGUGCGGCUCUAAAAAGACCAAAAAAAAAAAAAAAAAAAAGGUUCAAGACUGAUACCAUCUCUCAGGUUUGUUUCACUGAACGAGUUAUUGUAUAAUGACAGCUUUCUGAAAACUAUAAAAGCCUUUUAUAAACAAUAAAAGCAGAGCAGAGGUAAUAUAUUAUCAGCUUACUGGGGGGAGACAAAUAAUAUAUUACAAGGAAAAGCUGAAACUACUUUCAGUUCUUCUGACUUUACAGUAAUAAGGCAAAAAGGAAAGUUAUCCUUAUGCUUCAGUGUGAUGCCUAACGACUUUCAGGAGCCUGGGCACGGUGACCUGUGACUCGACACAAAAGCAGCCCAAGUACAGCAUGAGUACGACAACCCUCCAGUCUCAGACUGAGAUGCGAGGAGCACCUGCGGAAGCCAUGCGUCUUAAAAUGAGGAAGAGGUUACUCCAAAUUUCACUUCUAAGACUUUCUUAAAUUAUUCGUUAAGGAUGUGAAAAGGACAAAACAGGAGGGGGGGGGACAGAGUAAUAAUGAAUAAAUAAAAGAAAGUACAGGGACAAUACGUGUGUGUUGACUCAAAGGAGCUGAAGGGAAAAGACAUAAAUGAAAAGGACAGGACUGCCUCAGGAAUCCCACCGUGAACUGAAGGGUUUUUCUCUACAGAUGAGAACUUUGGAGGACGUCUGAACUGAGAUACCUCGGACAAAGUGCUCGGCAUGGGGACCAGUCCUCUUGAGCUGCUCAGCAGGCAGACAUGACACAAACACCCCCAUCUCAGAGAUGGGGAAACUGACACCCAAGAGGUCACAUCAUCUGCCCGAGUCUCACAGUGAAAGGCAAGCCUUCUGCCUCACAAGGGUCCUCUGC